CAAAAUGUUGGCCGCUAGGUUCCCGCUCUCUGUCAGUGUAUUUAAUUCUACCGACCGCACGAGCACUGAUUUAGCAAGAUCGUAAAUAAUUACAAAAGAAAAUCCAAUCGGAAUUCUUGGAAUAAGUCCAGCAUGAAAAAUUCAAUUGAGAAAGUAAUUGCUGGAGAAAUAUGCCUCAAUAAGGCUGCUAUUCUGGUCCUGAUACCAAAGACAGCUUUGAAGAGAAAUUUGGAGAAAUAUAGGUCUACUCAAAAUAUUGAUAAAGCAACAGAGAAAAAACUGGAUAGAUUUGAAAAAGUACUUAGUUUCACAAAAACUUAAAAAAAAAUAAAAGCAAAAAAGAAAAACAGGAAGAAGGAAAGUGAAAAUACACAAAAAAAAUCCACAAAUGGAAAGGCUAGAAAGAAAUCUGAUAUAAAAAGCACAAAAACAAAGAAAAAUUAUAGUUCGUCUGACGACGAUAACGCUAAGUGCCUGUAUUGUUCUCAUUUAUACUCAGAAUCAAGCGGAGAUUGGGUAAAAUGUCCUAAAUGUCAUCUGUGGACACAUUGCGCUUGCGCAGGAGUCGCGGAUGAGGAUGAUGAGACAGUAUUUCUAUGUGAAAUAUGUUCUGACUAAUUAAUUUUAUGUAAGUCCGUUUUGCCUUCAUUUGUGGUCCGUUUUGUCUAACCCAUGAAGGUAAAACGGACAUAUUGAAGGUAUUAGAAAUCGUCUAAUAUCUUUGUUGCCUGUGAUUUUAUCAAAGCCUGAUUCGUACAUAAUAUAGAGCUAAUAAUGUUCAUUACUUUUACUUAAAAGAAGUUUAAUAAAAUGAAUAGUUUCUUUUC
Long non-coding RNA from Manduca sexta (tobacco hornworm), 827 nucleotides. RefSeq lists it as uncharacterized. The record is from RefSeq and is a predicted model, not a curated record. Lineage: Eukaryota; Metazoa; Arthropoda; Insecta; Lepidoptera; Sphingidae. The transcript is spliced from 2 exons.